ACCUUCGUGGUGUAAUGGUAGCACAUUCGGUGCGUAUUCGGAAGGUCCAGGUUCGAGUCCUGGCGAGGGCU
RNAcentral lists this transfer RNA (71 nucleotides) under Stegodyphus mimosarum. It matches the Rfam family "tRNA". Rfam says of the family: Transfer RNA (tRNA) molecules are approximately 80 nucleotides in length. Their secondary structure includes four short double-helical elements and three loops (D, anti-codon, and T loops). Lineage: Eukaryota; Metazoa; Arthropoda; Arachnida; Araneae; Eresidae. The record is from Rfam by way of RNAcentral.